Long non-coding RNA from Daphnia magna, 2282 nucleotides. RefSeq lists it as uncharacterized. The record is from RefSeq and is a predicted model, not a curated record. Lineage: Eukaryota; Metazoa; Arthropoda; Branchiopoda; Diplostraca; Daphniidae. The transcript is spliced from 3 exons.
GCCACUACCAACUGCCCUAACAGGAUGUAGUUUAUAUUUUAUACGUUGGCGGAUGCUGUGACAAACGGGAAGUACACGCCAACUAAUUUGAAUUGAAUGCUGUCAAUAACAUGCAGUUCUUCCGAAGGCGAGUUCAUCCUUUAAACUCGGUUUUUCUGCUCUAGACGUUUAGCGUAGCAACCGAAUAUUCGCAAUCGCUCCCUUUUAUGUAACCUCGUUUCGAAAAAAAAAUUGCAGCGAUGAUAUCAAUCACUGGGAUUUGAAAUGGAAUUUAAACGACUUCGGAGGAACUAAUGGGCGACGGGAGAGAAGAUCCAUCUUCGAUAGGUGAAAUACUUGACGGGCAAACAGAGGCGACCCCCACUUCAAAUGACGCAGCAGAAUAACAGAACGAGAGAGCAAGAUUUUUCGUCGUACUUCGAUUGUAUCCGGCUGCCGUUUAUUCGUGUACCGGAUUUCGAAUGAAGCGACGUGGCUAAUCAGAUUGCGUAUACGUGUGCAACCUCUGGCAGAACCUUCGUGAUUUCAAAGUGAGAAUGUGCGGAAUGGCAGAAACGGGUGCGGUCCUCUAUUCCCGCAAGGGCCGUUUGGUACAACUCCCCAAUCACGAAACAAAGCAGGAAAAAACCAAACAUGUAGCUUCUCUUGCAUUAACUAGAAGGUGAUUAAAAGUAACCAGAUAAUGAAGUUUUCUUUUAAAAAAAAAUAUGAAACUUUUCAUAUUGGGUAAGUAACUUGAUAUUACGUUUGGAAGGGAAACAACGUUUUUACCAGUGAAAUUGCGUUUCUGAAUCUUAGGGAAAGGAGCUGGGCUUGCCACACCCUAAACGACAAAUCAAAAACCGUAGCCACUUGUUUGUCAAGUUCGAAAUUAAUACGAUGGGCAAACAUCACAAGAAAUUGAUGUCAGCACUUAAAAAAUAGUGUUAGAUGAGGUAACUGUUAUCGAUAAGGAAGGUCCUUCGACUGUAGUCCAUACAAUUUAUAUGUAAAGAUAAACAGGCUUGAUCGUGACUGAGCCAAUUUCCUUUUCAAAGACGAGCUCUGGAUAAACUAAAGAUUAUUUUUUAUUAUUUACUAGCGUCCUAAUGUUCUCAGUAAAUUAUCAAGGGUUCCAUUAGCCCUAGUAGUGACAUGUCCCGACAUUCUUGUUUGGCUUUCCGCAUGUUGCGCUUUUGCCAAUCUUCAUCACUCACGCAGCCGCAGGCACAAAUUACAAUUUGAUUUUGAAAUCAAGUGAUCCGUUCACCAAAAUAAACUGUAUCUACGGGGAAACUGAAAUUAACGGGAGAUCAACAUCAUGCAGAAGAAGAGGGCAAAGUACAAAUAGUCGGUUGAACAGUGACUCAAAUGGACACGCCUCAAGAUCGGAAACGUUACAUCUACGAAACUGAAUUUACAGUUGGACGAACACUUGUUGCAGCAGCCAAAUUUUGACAAAUGAACAUUAUCAGCUAUUAAUUUCGCCAUCCUGUGAAUGAUUUCAAAUUUGAUUGCUGUAGUAAACGAUUUCUCAGUCCACUGGAUAUUUUGCUUGAUCAUGUGCGUAUUGUUAGCCAAUAUUUUCAGUAUAUCUAAGACUUGAUCUUCGUUGAUUCGCGGGGAUCAAUCAAACCUGAUAAUAAUUCAGUCAUCGGUUAAGAAAAACCGACCAGCCCAAAUAGAAAGAGCGUAGCCAACACUUACAGGCUUGAUAAUCUUGACACAAUAAUUAUAAAGUACCCGUAUAUGUUAUUCUCCUCUUCCAAGACAAGACUUGUAACAUGGACUUAUUAACAACACUUGCAAUUCCUGUUGUGCAACAACUGUACUGAAUGCUGAUAAGUAUUCAGAGACAAGACAUCGUGUACCGUAGUGCUCUGAAGACUUCAUGCCGAAGUUCUUUAAAUACAUUGAUUUUUGCACUGAAAAACUAAAAAAAACUAGAAAUAUCUUUAUGUGGAACAUCAUGGAAUUCAGUUUGUUGUCCCCGAGCGUUUCGACUAGCCAUAGUCUCGCCUGUUCCUAUAUGACGUACGGAAGCAUAGCCAGAGGAUUAUAUAGAUGAUACUUGGAAUGGGACGAAUUCAACCUAACACCAUAACAUAGCGGAAUCUAACUGAACGGAAAACCAUACGUUCUACAUUAUGAAGUCGAAUUCCGUCGUAGCAGCCAAAUUACAUUAAAUGAACCAUAUCAGAUAUUAAUUGCGCCUUCUAAUAAAUGAUUCGCAAUUCAAUUGAUGCAGCAAUUGCUUUUUCUGUCAAAUGGAAAGCUCAGCCGCUCACGUCGAUACAGACGAC